UGAGCCCCCAGGGCACGCACUGCGUGGACAUCGACGAGUGCCGCCAGGUGCCCCCGCCCUGCUCUCCGGGGCGCUGCGAGAAUUCCGUGGGGAGCUUCCGGUGCCUCUGCGGGGCCGGCUUCACCUCCGAGCCCGCGGGCACCGAGUGCCGAGGUCAGCAGCGCACCUGGGCACACCUGGGCACACCUGGAUACACCUGGGUACCCCCAAACCACACCUGGGUACCCCCAAACCACACCNNNNNNNNNNUGGGCGCACCUAGGUGCACCCCAAACCACACCUGGGCACACCUGGGUGCCCCCCAAACUGCACCUGGGCGCACCUGGACGCACCUGGGUGCAUCUGGGUGCCCCCCACACCACACCUGGGCACACCUGGGCACACCUGGGUACCCCCCAAACCACACCUGUGCCCCUCAAACCACACCUGUGCCCACCUGAGCUCACCUGUGCCCACCUGUCCCCAUUACCUGUCCCCACCUGAGCCCACCUGUCCCCAUUACCUGUGCCCACCCAAACCCCACCUGAGCCCACCUGAGCUCACCUGUCCCCAUUACCUGUGCCCACCUGAGCUCACCUGAGCCCACUUGUGCCCACCUCUGCCCACCCAAACCCCACCUGUGCCCACCUGUCCCCACCUGUCCCCAUUACCUGAGCUCACCCAAACCCCACCUGAGCUCACCUGAGCUCACCUGUGCCCCACCUGUGCCCCCCAAACCCCACCUGAGCUCACCUGUGCCCACCUGUGCCCACCUGUGCCCACCUGUGCCCCCCCAAACCCCACCUGAGCUCACCUGAGCUCACCUGAGCUCACCUGUGCCCACCUGUGCCCACCCGUGCCCACCCGUGCCCACCCGUGCCCACCUGAGCCCACCUGAGCCCACCUGUGCCCACCUGUGCCCGCAGACAUUGACGAGUGCCGCCAGGUGCCCCCGCCCUGCUCUCCGGGGCGCUGCGAGAAUUCCGUGGGGAGCUUCCGGUGCCUCUGCGGCGCCGGCUUCACCUCCGAGCCCGCGGGCACCGAGUGCCGAGGUCAGCGGCGCACCUGGGCACACCUGGGCACACCUGGAUACACCUGGGUACCCCCAAACCACACCUGGGUACCCCCAAACCACACCUGGGCGCACCUGGGUACCCCCAAACCACACCUGGGCACACCUG
This 1160-nucleotide long non-coding RNA is filed under the name Chloebia gouldiae (Gouldian finch). Its description in RNAcentral is "Erythrura gouldiae (Gouldian finch) lncRNA (ENSEGOG00005017883.1)". The record is from RNAcentral. Lineage: Eukaryota; Metazoa; Chordata; Aves; Passeriformes; Passeridae.